RNAcentral lists this ribosomal RNA (371 nucleotides) under uncultured organism. Its description in RNAcentral is "bacterial SSU rRNA". It matches the Rfam family "Bacterial small subunit ribosomal RNA", at positions 526 to 896 of the family's 1533-position model. The record is from RNAcentral.
CGAAGGGGGCUAGCGUUGUUCGGAAUUACUGGGCGUAAAGGGCGUGUAGGCGGCCCGUUAAGUCAGGUGUGAAAUUCCUGGGCUCAACCCAGGACGUGCGCCUGAGACUGGCGGGCUUGAAUCCGGGAGAGGAUGGUGGAACUCCCAGUGUAGAGGUGAAAUUCGUAGAUAUUGGGAAGAACACCCGUGGCGAAGGCGGCCAUCUGGACCGGUAUUGACGCUAAGGCGCGACAGCGUGGGGAGCAAACAGGAUUAGAUACCCUGGUAGUCCACGCCGUAAACGAUGAGUGCUAGACGUUGGGAAGCCUAGCUUUUCAGUGUCGCAGCUAACGCAUUAAGCACUCCGCCUGGGGAGUACGGCCGCAAGGUUG